This 1379-nucleotide ribosomal RNA is filed under the name Physalaemus albonotatus (Menwig frog). RNAcentral describes it as "partial 16S ribosomal RNA". It matches the Rfam family "Bacterial large subunit ribosomal RNA", at positions 378 to 2557 of the family's 2925-position model. Lineage: Eukaryota; Metazoa; Chordata; Amphibia; Anura; Leptodactylidae. The record is from RNAcentral.
AGCAAAAAAUUUAGCCCGUGUAAUCUAAUGUAAAAAAUUUUUUAAAAAUUCAAAUUAAAACAUUUUAUUGACCCAGUAGAGGAGAUCAAAAAGUCCUCAGGAGCUAUAAACCAAGUACCGUAAGGGAAAAAUGAAAUAGAAAUGAAAAACUUUAAGCAUAAUAUAGUAGAGAUUUAUCCUCGUACCUUUUGCAUCAUGGUUUAACUAGUUAAACCAAGCAAAAAGAAUUUAAGUUUGACUUCCCGAAACUAAGUGAGCUACUUCAGGGCAGCUAAAAGAGCCAACUCGUCUCUGUUGCAAAAGAGUGAGAAGACCCUCAAGUAGGGGUGACAGACCUACCGAACUUAGUGAUAGCUGGUUAUUCAAGAAAAGAACAUUAGUUCAUCUAAAAAUUUUUUUAAAGUAUUAAUUUCAAUAAGAUUUUUAAAUUAUUCAAAUAAGGUACAGCCUAUUUGAACUAGGGUACAACCUAAACUAACGGGUAACCUAUUUUUUCUAUAGAUAAGUUGGCCUAAUAGCAGCCACCUUUUAAAAAGCGUCAAAGCUUUCCUAUUAUUAUACUUAAUUUCACACUAAAUAAGAAACCCUUUACCAGUAUUGAAUACUUCUAUAUGAUUAUAGAACUUUUUAUGUUAAAACUAGUAACAAGAAGAAGAACUUCUCUUAAAUGUAAGUGUAUAUCAGCCUGGACUAACCACUGAUCAUUAACGCUAAUGAACAAACAGAAGUAACAACUCUAGAAAAGCCUUCUACUUAAUAUCGUUAACCUUACACAAGAACAUUAAAAGAAAGAUUAAAAAAAAAGGAAGGAACUCGGCAAAUAUUAACCCCGCCUGUUUACCAAAAACAUCGCCUCUUGUUUACUAUAAGAGGUCCAGCCUGCCCAGUGACUAAAUUUAACGGCCGCGGUAUCCUAACCGUGCGAAGGUAGCGUAAUCACUUGUUCUUUAAAUAAGGACUAGUAUGAAUGGCACCACGAAGGUUAUACUGUCUCCCCUUUUUAAUCAGUGAAACUAAUCUCCCCGUGAAGAAGCGGGGAUAAAAAUAUAAGACGAGAAGACCCUAUGGAGCUUUAGACUUUAUGGUAAAUGUCAUUAACCUUCUAUACCCUCAGGGAACUAAAUUAUAUUUAUUCAUAAUAACCAUUAGUCUUAGGUUGGGGUGACCGCGGAGUAAAAUUUAACCUCCAUGAUGAAAGAAAAUAAAAUUCUUAGCCAAGAGUUACAACUCUAAGUACCAAAAACUUGACAUAAAUUGAUCCAAUUUUUUGAUCAACGAACCAAGUUACCCUAGGGAUAACAGCGCAAUCUACUUCAAGAGCCCCUAUCGACAAGUAGGUUUACGACCUCGAUGUUGGAUCAGGGUAUCCUAGUGGUGCA